This 467-nucleotide ribosomal RNA is filed under the name uncultured bacterium. RNAcentral describes it as "partial 16S ribosomal RNA". It matches the Rfam family "Bacterial small subunit ribosomal RNA", at positions 28 to 507 of the family's 1533-position model. The record is from RNAcentral.
GACGAACGCUGGCGGCGUGCUUAACACAUGCAAGUCGAACGGAAAGGCCUCUUUCGGGGGGUACUCGAGUGGCGGACGGGUGAGUAACACGUGAGUAACCUGCCCUUGACUUUGGGAUAACUUCAGGAAACUGGGGCUAAUACCGGAUAGGAGCUCCUGCUGCAUGGUGGGGGUUGGAAAGUUUCGGCGGUUGGGGAUGGACUCGCGGCUUAUCAGCUUGUUGGUGGGGUAGUGGCUUACCAAGGCUUUGACGGGUAGCCGGCCUGAGAGGGUGACCGGCCACAUUGGGACUGAGAUACGGCCCAGACUCCUACGGGAGGCAGCAGUGGGGAAUAUUGCACAAUGGGUGGAAGCCUGAUGCAGCAACGCCGGGUGCGGGAUGACGGCCUUCGGGUUGUAAACCGCUUUCGCUCAUGACGAAGCUUUGUGUGACGGUAGUGGGUAAAGAAGCACCGGCUAACUACGUG